RNAcentral lists this transfer RNA (131 nucleotides) under Aspergillus sclerotioniger CBS 115572. RNAcentral's name for it is "tRNA-Sec". Lineage: Eukaryota; Fungi; Ascomycota; Eurotiomycetes; Eurotiales; Aspergillaceae. The record is from RNAcentral.
GUCUCGGUGGCGCAAUUGGUAAGCUUGUCCUUCAACAUCUCACAACAUCACUCAGUUACUAAUUCAAUAUUACAGGUUAGCGCGUACGACUGUUAAUCGUGAGGUUGAGAGUUCGAUCCUCUCCCGGGACG